Molecule: non-coding RNA, 322 nt
Organism: Cinara cedri
Lineage: Eukaryota; Metazoa; Arthropoda; Insecta; Hemiptera; Aphididae
Source: the annotation of a GenBank genome assembly
AAAACGCUCGGCGGACAAAUGACUUUAUUUUCAUUGAGGGAUUUGCAUUUGAUUUCUAAAAGUAUUAAAAAACAUUUCAUAUUUCUCUGCAAUAGUCGAAAUACAAAUCCGAAAAUACCUAAUGUUAUGUAUUAGGAAAAUAUAGUAAUUGAUUGACUCAUGUGGACAGAGACGGAUUUACACAAUUGCUACCCCUUGGCAAUUUUUUUUUUUCGGCCCCAUUAAACUUAUCAAUGAAAACGAAUUUUUAGGUACUUAUCUAGCAUGGUAUCUAUUAAAACAAAAACUAAUCAUAUAAACGGUUCCAAUCAAACAAAUAUUG